AACGUAGGGGGCCAGCGUUGCUCGGAAUUACUGGGCGUAAAGGGUCUGUAGGCGGUGCGGCAAGUCGGAAGUGAAAUCGCAGGGCUUAACUCUGCGGCUGCUCCCGAAACUGCCGUGCUCGAGUGUGAGAUAGGCGAGUGGAAUUGCAGGUGUAGCGGUGAAAUGCGUAGAUAUCUGCAGGAACAUCCGAGGCGAAAGCGGCUCGCUGGAUCACAACUGACGCUGAGAGACGAAAGCUAGGGGAGCAAACAGG
RNAcentral lists this ribosomal RNA (253 nucleotides) under uncultured bacterium. Its description in RNAcentral is "partial 16S ribosomal RNA". It matches the Rfam family "Bacterial small subunit ribosomal RNA", at positions 524 to 776 of the family's 1533-position model. The record is from RNAcentral.